AUUGAACGCUGGCGGCAUGCCUUACACAUGCAAGUCGAACGGCAGCACGGGGGCAACCCUGGUGGCGAGUGGCGAACGGGUGAGUAAUGCAUCGGAACGUGCCCCGUACGCGGGGGAUAACCAGUCGAAAGACUGGCUAAUACCGCAUACGCUCCACGGAGGAAAGCAGGGGAUCGCAAGACCUUGCACUAUGGGAGCGGCCGAUGCCCGAUUAGCUAGUUGGUGAGGUAAAGGCUCACCAAGCGACGAUCGGUAGCUGGUUUGAGAGAACGACCAGCCACACUGGGACUGAGACACGGCCCAGACUCCUACGGGAGGCAGCAGUGGGGAAUUUUGGACAAUGGGCGCAAGCCUGAUCCAGCCAUGCCGCGUGCGGGAUGAAGGCCUCGGUU
This 392-nucleotide ribosomal RNA is filed under the name uncultured bacterium. Its description in RNAcentral is "bacterial SSU rRNA". It matches the Rfam family "Bacterial small subunit ribosomal RNA", at positions 29 to 424 of the family's 1533-position model. The record is from RNAcentral.